CCAAUAGCGUAUAUUAAAGUUGUUGCAGUUAAAAAGCUCGUAGUUGAAUUUCGGGAUCAAGUCGUCGGUCGUGCCUCGGUACGCACUGGUGACAUUGGUUUCUCCCUUCUGAAGAACCUUGAUGUCAUUAAUUUGGUGUCUUGGGGAAUCAGGACUGUUACUUUGAAAAAAUUAGAGUGUUUAAAGCAGGCUCACGCUUGAAUACAUUAGCAUGGAAUACUGAAAUAGGACAUUUGAUUCUAUUUUGUUGGUUUCUAGGAUCGACGUAAUGAUUAAUAGGGAUAGUUGGGGGCAUUAGUAUUCAAUUGUCAGAGGUGAAAUUCUUGGAUUUAUUGAAGACUAACUACUGCGAAAGCAUUUGCCAAGGAUGUUUUCAUUAAUCAAGAACGAAAGUUAGGGGAUCGAAGACGAUCAGAUACCGUCGUAGUCUUAACCAUAAACUAUGCCGACUAGGGAUCGGAUGAUGUUAAUUUUUUAAUGACUCAUUCGGCGCCUUACG
Molecule: unclassified non-coding RNA, 499 nt
Filed under: uncultured Glomus
Lineage: Eukaryota; Fungi; Glomeromycota; Glomeromycetes; Glomerales; Glomeraceae
Description: SSU rRNA
Rfam family: Eukaryotic small subunit ribosomal RNA
Source: RNAcentral